AAUUUUGGACAAUGGGGGAAACCCUGAUCCAGCCAUCCCGCGUGUAUGAUGAAGGCCUUCGGGUUGUAAAGUACUUUUGGCAGAGAAGAAAAGGUACCUCCUAAUACGAGGUACUGCUGACGGUAUCUGCAGAAUAAGCACCGGCUAACUACGUGCCAGCAGCCGCGGUAAUACGUAGGGUGCAAGCGUUAAUCGGAAUUACUGGGCGUAAAGCGUGUGUAGGCGGUUCGGAAAGAAAGAUGUGAAAUCCCAGGGCUCAACCUUGGAACUGCAUUUUUAACUGCCGAGCUAGAGUAUGUCAGAGGGGGGUAGAAUUCCACGUGUAGCAGUGAAAUGCGUAGAUAUGUGGAGGAAUACCGAUGGCGAAGGCAGCCCCCUGGGAUAAUACUGACG
Molecule: ribosomal RNA, 393 nt
Filed under: Alcaligenes sp.
Lineage: Bacteria; Pseudomonadati; Pseudomonadota; Betaproteobacteria; Burkholderiales; Alcaligenaceae
Description: bacterial SSU rRNA
Rfam family: Bacterial small subunit ribosomal RNA
Source: RNAcentral